AAGAAAUAUGCGAGAGGAGAUAGGUGAGGUUUGACAGGGGCCGUGGCAGCAGCAAUGCUGCAGCUCUUCGCAGGAGAACCCAGGAGUACCAAUUGUUUCAAGGGCAGCAGACACACUGCUAUUUUUACCAAAGCCCUUGCUGUAACUGCCCAGCUCAUUAAACCUUACCACAGCGACGCUCGGAUCCUGCCUGCUCGACCCUGCUCCUCCUCGCACCUCGGCUGUCCUUAAACAACACGUUAUUCCUCGGUACCCCCGGAGAAGUUACUAGCCAGGGAAGCUUUAAAUAAUACCAGCUUCGGGAAAGAAAAGAAAGAAUUCUACAAGCGGACCUGGAGCCUGGGUAUUUGACCAAGACUGUCGGAAGUGUUUUUCUACUGAUGGCAAUAGGAACUGGACUGGGCGUCGUAUCACCGGAUCACAGAAAAUGUCUUCCACAGGAAGCCCUCCUGAACAAAAAACCUUUUCUUUGGGAGUUUAAGAGAAACAAAUGCCAGACUGGACACGAGCAGUACAGACAUUUAACACACAACAGCCGGGAACGUGGUGACCAUUUGCUGGCACAUGAUCAUAGCUGAGAAAUUCUGAAAAACUAUCAAGACCCAGUUCAUUUUUUACAGUAUUUUCUAACAGAAGUAAAAAUAGCCUUUUCUUGAGGGAAAGAGCACACUUGGGUUUGGAAUCCAAAUGUCUGAAAUUUGCUUUAAUUUGUAUCUUACAAAUAAACAUUAAUUCACUGAUUAAGUAAUUGUUAUC
RNAcentral lists this long non-coding RNA (756 nucleotides) under Calidris pugnax (ruff). Its description in RNAcentral is "lncRNA (ENSCPUG00000003813.1)". Lineage: Eukaryota; Metazoa; Chordata; Aves; Charadriiformes; Scolopacidae. The record is from RNAcentral.